CUGAAUGAUCUCCCUACAGGUUAAUAUUACUACUGAAUGAUCUCCCUACAGGUUAAUAUUACUACUGAAUGAUCUCCCUACAGGUUAAUAUUACUACUGAAUGAUCUCCCUACAGGUUAAUAUUACUACUGAAUGAUCUCCCUACAGGUUAAUAUUACUACUGAAUGAUCUCCCUACAGGUUAAUAUUACUACUGAAUGAUCUCCCUACAGGUUAAUAUUACUACUGAAUGAUCUCCCUACAGGUUAAUAUUACUACUGAAUGAUCUCCCUACAGGUUAAUAUUACUACUGAAUGAUCUCUCUACAGGU
This is a long non-coding RNA of Oncorhynchus tshawytscha (Chinook salmon), 309 nucleotides long. RefSeq lists it as uncharacterized. The record is from RefSeq and is a predicted model, not a curated record. NCBI's taxonomy places the organism in Eukaryota, Metazoa, Chordata, Actinopteri, Salmoniformes, Salmonidae. The transcript is spliced from 3 exons.